AUUUCCUGGUUCACAAUGUUACUCUUACCACUCUUUGUUGUAAUCUCACGGUUCAACCUGUACUGCUUGGUCCCUGAAGUUAUUCAAAUUUGUGGUCUCUACCCACAAAUCAAACAUCAGUGUCAUAGCAUGCUUAUUAUUUGAGAUACAGUACCACUGGCUCAAGUGAAAUUUCUUACAUAUACAAAUAAAGUAUACAAAUAAAUCCAUCUUGAGCUUCUACCCCCAUGAGAUUUACCAGGUCUUCACAUGGUAUGGAUGCUAUUACUGACAAUUAUAAUUUCUCAAGAAGAAAAUGAUACGGGAAAAGUCUUGAAAGGCA
This 322-nucleotide long non-coding RNA is filed under the name Bos taurus (domestic cattle). Its description in RNAcentral is "long non-coding RNA NONBTAT022720". Lineage: Eukaryota; Metazoa; Chordata; Mammalia; Artiodactyla; Bovidae. The record is from RNAcentral.